UCUAUUAUAAAGCUAUGACAGAUUUGCAUGUUUUUUUAAAUGUGUACUAAAUGUGUUUAUACUUAUUUUUAGACAUUGGGUUCUUCAGUGAAGGAAAAAUUACAACAGUGGAAUCUCAUACAUUAAACAUCCACAUGCCAAUUAACUGAAAUAUUUCAAGAGGAAGGAGUCAAUGAAGGAAGUUUUAUGCGACCGGAUGACACCAGCAUUGCUGCACUAACUCCAAGAGAAGAAGUUUUUAGCAUUUUCAACGGUGAAACAGUGGAACAGAAGACCUUACUACAAGCAGUGGAUCUGUGUUUCAGACAUUUCUACAUUUAUGACAUCUACUACCCAAAGCUCCUCUGCACCCAUUUGCAGCACACAGUCUUUAAUAUUCCAGGAGUUCUUUCAACACAUUACCUCUUCCUUAGAAACUUUGUAUUUAUUGAUCCGUAAAAACUUUUUAUGUUGCUGAUUAUCAGCAAGUCCAGCAGCCAGCAGAUUUACUUUGUUUUAUUAUUAUUAUUAUUAUUAUUAUUAUUAUUACUUGUGUUUAUGAUUUUUUAUUUUUGUUUUAUUGAUAAAAGUUUGUAUGUUAUGUUUGUUUUAUUUGUGCACAUUUGUGUAUGUGUUGAUAUAAAUAAAUAUGAAUUGAUACACAUUUAUGACCCUGGACAACAAAACCGGUCAUAAGUAUCAUGGGUACAUUUGUAGAAAUAGCCAAAAUUGCAUUGUAUGGGUCAAAAUUAUCAAAUUUUCUUUCAUGCCAAAAAUCAUUAGAAUAUUAAGUAAAGAUCAUGUUCCAUGGAGAUAUUUUGUAAAUCUCCUACCAUAAGUAUAUUGAAACUGAAUUUAUUAUUAGUAAUAUGUGUUGCUAAUAACUUCACUUGGACAACUUUAAAGGCAAUUUUCUCAAUAUUUAGAUUUUUUU
This is a long non-coding RNA of Labeo rohita (rohu), 913 nucleotides long. RefSeq lists it as uncharacterized. The transcript is spliced from 2 exons. The record is from RefSeq and is a predicted model, not a curated record. Lineage: Eukaryota; Metazoa; Chordata; Actinopteri; Cypriniformes; Cyprinidae.